UGGCCGGUGCUUCUUCUGUACCUACCGUCACUUGCGCUUCGUCGGUACUGAAAGAGGUUACAACCGAAGGCCGUCAUCCCUCACGCGGCGUUGCUGGAUCAGGCUUCCGCCCAUUGUCCAAUUACUUCCCCAC
RNAcentral lists this ribosomal RNA (133 nucleotides) under uncultured bacterium. RNAcentral's name for it is "partial 16S ribosomal RNA". The record is from RNAcentral.